Molecule: transfer RNA, 72 nt
Filed under: Ictidomys tridecemlineatus (thirteen-lined ground squirrel)
Lineage: Eukaryota; Metazoa; Chordata; Mammalia; Rodentia; Sciuridae
Description: Spermophilus tridecemlineatus (thirteen-lined ground squirrel) tRNA
Rfam family: tRNA
About the family: Transfer RNA (tRNA) molecules are approximately 80 nucleotides in length.
Source: Rfam by way of RNAcentral
GAGGAUAUAGCUUAGCUGGUAGAGUGCUUGCCUCCCAUGCAUAAGGCCUUGGGUUCAAUCCCCAGCACCCCA